This 1539-nucleotide ribosomal RNA is filed under the name Klebsiella quasipneumoniae. RNAcentral's name for it is "bacterial SSU rRNA". It matches the Rfam family "Bacterial small subunit ribosomal RNA". Lineage: Bacteria; Pseudomonadati; Pseudomonadota; Gammaproteobacteria; Enterobacterales; Enterobacteriaceae. The record is from RNAcentral.
AAAUUGAAGAGUUUGAUCAUGGCUCAGAUUGAACGCUGGCGGCAGGCCUAACACAUGCAAGUCGAGCGGUAGCACAGAGAGCUUGCUCUCGGGUGACGAGCGGCGGACGGGUGAGUAAUGUCUGGGAAACUGCCUGAUGGAGGGGGAUAACUACUGGAAACGGUAGCUAAUACCGCAUAACGUCGCAAGACCAAAGUGGGGGACCUUCGGGCCUCAUGCCAUCAGAUGUGCCCAGAUGGGAUUAGCUAGUAGGUGGGGUAACGGCUCACCUAGGCGACGAUCCCUAGCUGGUCUGAGAGGAUGACCAGCCACACUGGAACUGAGACACGGUCCAGACUCCUACGGGAGGCAGCAGUGGGGAAUAUUGCACAAUGGGCGCAAGCCUGAUGCAGCCAUGCCGCGUGUAUGAAGAAGGCCUUCGGGUUGUAAAGUACUUUCAGCGGGGAGGAAGGCGUAAGNNNNNNNNNNNNNNNNNNUGACGUUACCCGCAGAAGAAGCACCGGCUAACUCCGUGCCAGCAGCCGCGGUAAUACGGAGGGUGCAAGCGUUAAUCGGAAUUACUGGGCGUAAAGCGCACGCAGGCGGUCUGUCAAGUCGGAUGUGAAAUCCCCGGGCUCAACCUGGGAACUGCAUUCGAAACUGGCAGGCUAGAGUCUUGUAGAGGGGGGUAGAAUUCCAGGUGUAGCGGUGAAAUGCGUAGAGAUCUGGAGGAAUACCGGUGGCGAAGGCGGCCCCCUGGACAAAGACUGACGCUCAGGUGCGAAAGCGUGGGGAGCAAACAGGAUUAGAUACCCUGGUAGUCCACGCCGUAAACGAUGUCGAUUUGGAGGUUGUGCCCUUGAGGCGUGGCUUCCGGAGCUAACGCGUUAAAUCGACCGCCUGGGGAGUACGGCCGCAAGGUUAAAACUCAAAUGAAUUGACGGGGGCCCGCACAAGCGGUGGAGCAUGUGGUUUAAUUCGAUGCAACGCGAAGAACCUUACCUGGUCUUGACAUCCACAGAACUUUCCAGAGAUGGAUUGGUGCCUUCGGGAACUGUGAGACAGGUGCUGCAUGGCUGUCGUCAGCUCGUGUUGUGAAAUGUUGGGUUAAGUCCCGCAACGAGCGCAACCCUUAUCCUUUGUUGCCAGCGGUCCGGCCGGGAACUCAAAGGAGACUGCCAGUGAUAAACUGGAGGAAGGUGGGGAUGACGUCAAGUCAUCAUGGCCCUUACGACCAGGGCUACACACGUGCUACAAUGGCAUAUACAAAGAGAAGCGACCUCGCGAGAGCAAGCGGACCUCAUAAAGUAUGUCGUAGUCCGGAUUGGAGUCUGCAACUCGACUCCAUGAAGUCGGAAUCGCUAGUAAUCGUAGAUCAGAAUGCUACGGUGAAUACGUUCCCGGGCCUUGUACACACCGCCCGUCACACCAUGGGAGUGGGUUGCAAAAGAAGUAGGUAGCUUAACCUUCGGGAGGGCGCUUACCACUUUGUGAUUCAUGACUGGGGUGAAGUCGUAACAAGGUAACCGUAGGGGAACCUGCGGUUGGAUCACCUCCUUA